UCUGGCGGCAGUAGCGCGGUGGUCCCACCUGACCCCAUGCCGAACUCAGAAGUGAAACGCCGUAGCGCCGAUGGUAGUGUGGGGUCUCCCUAUGCGAGAGUAGGGAACUGCCAGAC
Molecule: ribosomal RNA, 116 nt
Filed under: Escherichia coli
Lineage: Bacteria; Pseudomonadati; Pseudomonadota; Gammaproteobacteria; Enterobacterales; Enterobacteriaceae
Also listed under: 1 other name
Source: RNAcentral